AAAUUUCAGUGCCCUAGAUAGACCAUUUUAGAGCAAACAAUUUAAAGUAAAUUAACAUUUUUCCCUUUAGUCUUCAUAACUACUAUUAUAUGAAUGUCUCCCAAAAUUCAUGUGUUGAAACCUAAUCACCAAUAUGGUAGUAUUAAGAGAUGGAGCCUUUAGGAGAUGAUUAAGACAGAAGCUCAGAGCCCUCAUGGACAAAAGCAGGGCCCUUAUCAAAACUAUGGAGGUAUGGGUUUGUUUUUUCCCAUCCUUUCUGUCUUGUGAGGGCACAGUAUUCAUCCUCUCCAAAGGAUGCAGCAACAAGGCAUCUUACAAGGUCUUGUAAGCAGAAGAGAGCCUUCAACAGAUGUUGGUGUCUUGUUCUUGGACUUCCCAGCCUCCAAAACUGUGAGAAAUACCUUUUUGUUGUUUAUAGAUGACUCAGUCUCAGGAAUUUUGUUAUAGCAGGACAAACAGACUAAAAGAACAAUGUCCCCAUUUUUUUCUUUCAUGCUAACCACUAUAAUUUUUAAUUACAGAUUCAUUUGUCUACCUCUUUAUUAUGUCUCACCUCAAGUAGACUGGGAGUCUCUACAUUCACGCUCCUACAGAACCCAGGGCCAGCAGUCAAUCUGGGAAGAAAUGCAAGCAACUACAGGGAACAGUAAGUGCAGAGAAUUAUUAAUUUUCCCAGAGAAGAGCAAGUGCCAAAUUGCCUGCCAUAUGAAUGGACCAUCUUGGGAAUGAAUUCUCCAUCCGACACUACUUGGAACAGAUAAGCUGUCCUGGUCAAGUCUACACAAAUUGCAAAAUUAUGAAGUAAAAAGUGAUUGUUAGUAUUUUAAGCAUCUAAGAAUUUGGUUGAUUUGGGUUAUACAGCAAUAGAUAACCAAAACAGAAUUCAAAACUCUGAAGUGUGGUGGUACUGUAAACAAACUCAAAAUCUGUGGCACUGUCCUUAGAAUGGGUAUUGUGGGGAGAGGUGGGCAGAGGCCUGAAGAGCCUCAAGGAGACACUUAAUGAAGGUUUGAAAUAGAGUGAUGAAAUUGUUAUAGGAGUUCUCCUUUUACGGGUCGGGGAAGGUGUAGCAACAUCAUAAUCUGUGAUAAUAUGGAAGAUAGAAAGUCUACCUAAUGAAAUCAUGAUUAAAGAGAUGUCCGGGAAAAAUUUUCAAGUGCCAACUGGCUUCUUUUAACUGCACAGUAAAGUGCCAGAAAAUUGAGAUAAGCUAAAAAAAAAAAGCAGAACUGUUCAGUUAUCAAGCAGAAUUUAGAGAAACUAUAAAAAAAUGGCCAGGCAUGGUGGCUCGUGUCUGUAAUCCUAGCACUUUGGGAGGCUGAAGCAGGCAGGUCACCUGAGGCCAGGAGUUUGAGACCAGCCUGGCCAUCAUGGAGAAACCUGGUCUCUACUAAAAAUACAAAAAUUAGUUGGGUGUGGUGGCGCAUGCCUGUAAUCCCAGCUACUCAGGAGGCUGAGGGAGGAGAAUCAUUUGAACCCAGGAGGCAGAGAUUGCAGUGAGCUGAGAUUGUGCCACUGCAGUCUAGGCUGGGUGACAGAGUGAGACUCUGACUCAAAAAAAUAAUAAUAAUAAAAUAUAAAAAAUAAAAAAGCCUGAUGCACUGGGUUUGGAAAUAAAACGUUUUCUCAUUCUUAACCUCUCCAGGCAGCAAAAUUUCACAAUGUAAGAAAUAGGCUCAGGACAAGCAUCAAAUCCAAGGUAUUGUCUUCAAUGUGUGGCCUCACGUUCCAGAGUGUAGCCUAACACCUUGCUAUGGUCCAAAUGUUUGUGUCCUCCAAAGCUCACGCUGAAAUUUAAUUGCCAUUGUAACAACGCUGAGAAGUGGGAAUGGGAUCUUCAAGAGGUAACUGGGCCAUAAGGGCUCCACUCUCAUGGGUGCGAUUAAUGCUGUUAUAAAAAGUGUGAAUUUGGCCCUUUUUUCUCUCUUGCCUUUCUCCCGUCUCCCAUGUGAUGACAGAGCAAGAAGGUCUUUGCAAGAGCCCAACACCUCGAUAUUGGACUUACCAGCCUCCAGAAUUGUAAGCUAAUAAUUUUCUGUUAAUUAUUUAUUAUCAGUCUCAG
This 2062-nucleotide long non-coding RNA is filed under the name Pan paniscus (pygmy chimpanzee). Its description in RNAcentral is "lncRNA (ENSPPAG00000044881.1)". The record is from RNAcentral. Lineage: Eukaryota; Metazoa; Chordata; Mammalia; Primates; Hominidae.